UGCUGUGAUUGUGUAAUUUGCGACCGACUCUGUGACCAGUGACAGAAUGCCUGCUGUCAUAUACUGGAACAGAUGGCUGACGAACAAACAUUGAGUCUGAGCA
Molecule: small nucleolar RNA, 103 nt
Organism: Solea solea (common sole)
Lineage: Eukaryota; Metazoa; Chordata; Actinopteri; Pleuronectiformes; Soleidae
Product: small nucleolar RNA SNORD16
Exons: 1
Source: RefSeq, a predicted model, not a curated record